Non-coding RNA from Phoenix dactylifera (date palm), 402 nucleotides. Lineage: Eukaryota; Viridiplantae; Streptophyta; Magnoliopsida; Arecales; Arecaceae. The record is from RefSeq and is a predicted model, not a curated record.
UGUUUUACAUCAAUUCUACUAGGUUGCAUCAAUCUGCCCCUGCACGCUGGCAGGAGGAACUUCUUGCAUGGCAGAUGCAUUACUCAAAUUAGAAUGGCAGAUGCAUGCAACAUGAAACAUUAAUGUCGCAGGGACAAAAUCAUUUCCAAUUGGUCUCAGCUUCAUUUCUUGAAUACUUAUGAGCUUGCAAAGAUGUGAUUCGGCCUGAGCUGAGCCAACAUGCCUCGUAUUCUGUUUUUGGGGCUAGCUUGAAUAUUCUCAGCAUGGCCAACUAUCCACAACGUGCUCUAGUUUUAGGUCCAGGUGCACUAGCAUCCUUGAUUGCACUAGUAACUGGAUUGGAUAUAAAAUAUGGUUUGUGUUAUGUUAGUUGCCAAUGCAAUGCUUAAUAUUGGUUGUGAA